AUGGGGAGAAGCGAGCAAAGCGGCAAGCAGAGAUACCGGUCAGGCAACGCUUUGGCAUCCGUGGUGGUGAAGCAGGAGCGCCUGAGCCCGGAACCCAACGCUCCAGCUGCUAGCCUGCCCACCGCCAAGCCUGAUGCUAGUCGGUCCCCAGACAAAAAGAAAAGGAAGUCCUCCGGGAGAAGAAGCAAGUCUCCUCCUACUAAGAGAAGCCGGGGUCCCCACUACUCCAUGGUCAAAGUGAAACAGGAACUUGAGGAACACCCACCGAGAGGACGAGAGGGUCCACAACCCCGGGAGCCAGCAGAACAGGCGCACAGAAGAGCUAGGAACAGUGAUGAGCGAGCCGGGCACCAGGACCAUUCCUGUCAAAGGAGGAGCUCUGAUGAGAGGCCUGUCAGUGGACAGGGCCAGGAUAGAGACAGCCAGAUCCUGCGGGCUCAGGAAAAAGAGAGGGACUUUCAUAAUGCCAGGCGCCAGGAGCAUCGCCAGCAGAAUGGACGUGCUGGCGGUGAGGUUCAAGAAGAAGUGAUCCCUUGCCCUGCUGGUAACAGAAGCAAAGAGGUGCCCGUUAAAGAAAAACCAUGCUUUUAACUUUCUGGGGCACUUCUUGAGGACACUAAUACCUUCCGAGGUGUGGUUAUUAAAUACAAUGAGCCCCCAGAAGCCCGGAUCCCAAAACAACGGUGGCGUCUCUACCCCUUUAAAAAUGAUGAGCUGCUUCCAGUCUUGUACAUCCAUCGGCAAAGUGCAUACCUUCUGGGUAGACAUCGAAGCAUCGCAGACAUUCCCAUCGACCAUCCCUCUUGCUCAAAGCAACAUGCAGUCUUCCAGUACCGGCUUGUGGAGUACACCCGUGCAGAUGGCACGGUUGAUCGGAGGGUGAAGCCCUACAUCAUUGAUCUCUACUCAACCAACGGAACGUUCUUAAACAACAAGCGUAUUGAGCCACAGAGAUACUACGAACUGAAAGAAAGCGACAUACUUAAAUUCGGGUUCAGUAGCCGAGAAUAUGUCUUGCUUCAUGAGUCUUCAGACACCUCUGAACUGGAGGAAGGAAAAUGAAGAGGAGGAGGAGGAGGAAGAAAUGGUACCCCACAGCUGGCAGAUGAGAGGCAGCCUCCACUAUUAG
Molecule: RNA transcript, 1129 nt
Organism: Mus pahari (shrew mouse)
Lineage: Eukaryota; Metazoa; Chordata; Mammalia; Rodentia; Muridae
Gene name: smad nuclear-interacting protein 1 pseudogene
Exons: 1
Source: RefSeq, a predicted model, not a curated record